Molecule: ribosomal RNA, 363 nt
Filed under: Gammarus crenulatus
Lineage: Eukaryota; Metazoa; Arthropoda; Malacostraca; Amphipoda; Gammaridae
Description: partial 16S ribosomal RNA
Rfam family: Bacterial large subunit ribosomal RNA (bases 73-363)
Source: RNAcentral
UUAGCUUGAUUAUUUGUUUGUUAAGUUUUAUAGGAAAUUAAAGUCAAGGUAAGAAUUCUUUGGUUUUUUAGGGGACGAUAAGACCCUAAAAGCUUAAUUAGCAUGCUUGUUAUUAGUUAUAUAAAGUAGUUUAUUUUACUGGGGUGGUAAAAGUUAAUUUGCUAUAUAGUUUUUAUGUGAUCCCGUAGAUAAGGAUAAAUUGGUAAAGUUACUUUAGGGGUAACAGUGCAAUAUUUUUGGAGAGGUCUUAUCGAUAAAAGUGCUUGCAGCCUCGAUGUUGAAUUAAAAUAUCUACGUAAGGUAGGAAGUAUAGUAGAGGGUUUGUUCAACCUUUAAAUUUUUACAUGAUUUGAGUUCAAACCG